UGAUAACUUUCUCGUGUGUUCGGUAUAC
This 28-nucleotide non-coding RNA is filed under the name Bombyx mori (domestic silkworm). The record is from RNAcentral. Lineage: Eukaryota; Metazoa; Arthropoda; Insecta; Lepidoptera; Bombycidae.